CCCUUAGACGUUCUGGGCCGCACGCGCGCUACGCUGACCGGUGCAACAAGCAUCCGUCCUUGGCCGACAGGCCCGGGCAAUCUUUGAACGCCGGUCGUGAUGGGGAUAGACUUUUGCAAUUUUUGGUCUUCAACGAGGAAUUCCUAGUAAACGCAAGUCAUCAACUUGCAUUGAUUACGUCCCUGCCCUUUGUACACACCGCCCGUCGCACCUACCGAUUGAAUGGUCCGGUGAAGCCUCCGGAUUGGCGCGCACCUCGGUGCCGCCGAGAAGUUGGCUAAACCUUACCAUUUAGAGGAAGGUGAAGUCGUAACA
RNAcentral lists this ribosomal RNA (315 nucleotides) under uncultured eukaryote. Its description in RNAcentral is "partial 18S ribosomal RNA". It matches the Rfam family "Eukaryotic small subunit ribosomal RNA", at positions 1470 to 1796 of the family's 1831-position model. The record is from RNAcentral.